GGGGCUAUAAUUCAGUGUUAGAGCACAUGCUUAGCAUGCACUAUGUCCUGGGUUCAAUCCCCAGUACCUCUG
RNAcentral lists this transfer RNA (72 nucleotides) under Camelus bactrianus (Bactrian camel). It matches the Rfam family "tRNA". From Rfam's summary of the family: Transfer RNA (tRNA) molecules are approximately 80 nucleotides in length. Their secondary structure includes four short double-helical elements and three loops (D, anti-codon, and T loops). Lineage: Eukaryota; Metazoa; Chordata; Mammalia; Artiodactyla; Camelidae. The record is from Rfam by way of RNAcentral. RNAcentral also lists the same sequence under 1 other name.